Molecule: ribosomal RNA, 3003 nt
Filed under: Salmonella enterica subsp. arizonae
Lineage: Bacteria; Pseudomonadati; Pseudomonadota; Gammaproteobacteria; Enterobacterales; Enterobacteriaceae
Description: 23S ribosomal RNA
Rfam family: Bacterial large subunit ribosomal RNA
Source: RNAcentral
UUAAGCGACCAAGCGUACACGGUGGAUGCCCUGGCAGUCAGAGGCGAUGAAGGACGUGCUAAUCUGCGAAAAGCGCCGGUAAGGUGAUAUGAACCGUUAUAACCGGCGAUGUCCGAAUGGGGAAACCCAGUGUGACUCGUCACACUAUCAUUAACUGAAUCCAUAGGUUAAUGAGGCGAACCGGGGGAACUGAAACAUCUAAGUACCCGAGGAAAAGAAAUCAACCGAGAUUCCCCCAGUAGCGGCGAGCGAACGGGGAGGAGCCCAGAGCCUGAAUCAGCAUGUGUGUUAGUGGAAGCGUCUGGAAAGGCGCGCGAUACAGGGUGAGAGCCCCGUACACAAAAGCGCAUAUGCUGUGAGCUCGAUGAGUAGGGCGGGACACGUGGUAUCCUGUCUGAAUAUGGGGGGACCAUCCUCCAAGGCUAAAUACUCCUGACUGACCGAUAGUGAACCAGUACCGUGAGGGAAAGGCGAAAAGAACCCCGGCGAGGGGAGUGAAACAGAACCUGAAACCGUGUACGUACAAGCAGUGGGAGCCCCACCACUAAGCCAGUGGUGAACUCCACAUACGCAUCCUUUGCGGAAGAUGCGGUUAACGGCGCGCAAGCGACGUUCAACCUCAAAAGAAGCAGAGGGGGCUUAGUGGUGGGGUGACUGCGUACCUUUUGUAUAAUGGGUCAGCGACUUAUAUUCUGUAGCAAGGUUAACCGCAUAGGGGAGCCGAAGGGAAACCGAGUCUUAAUUGGGCGUUAAGUUGCAGGGUAUAGACCCGAAACCCGGUGAUCUAGCCAUGGGCAGGUUGAAGGUUGGGUAACACUAACUGGAGGACCGAACCGACUAAUGUUGAAAAAUUAGCGGAUGACCUGUGGCUGGGGGUGAAAGGCCAAUCAAACCGGGAGAUAGCUGGUUCUCCCCGAAAGCUAUUUAGGUAGCGCCUCGUGAAUUCAUCUCCGGGGGUAGAGCACUGUUUCGGCUAGGGGGCCAUCCCGGCUUACCAACCCGAUGCAAACUGCGAAUACCGGAGAAUGUUAUCACGGGAGACACACGGCGGGUGCUAACGUCCGUCGUGAAGAGGGAAACAACCCAGACCGCCAGCUAAGGUCCCAAAGUCAUGGUUAAGUGGGAAACGAUGUGGGAAGGCCCAGACAGCCAGGAUGUUGGCUUAGAAGCAGCCAUCAUUUAAAGAAAGCGUAAUAGCUCACUGGUCGAGUCGGCCUGCGCGGAAGAUGUAACGGGGCUAAACCAUGCACCGAAGCUGCGGCAGCGACACUGUGUGUUGUUGGGUAGGGGAGCGUUCUGUAAGCCGUUGAAGGUGUGUCGUGAGGCAUGCUGGAGGUAUCAGAAGUGCGAAUGCUGACAUAAGUAACGAUAAAGCGGGUGAAAAGCCCGCUCGCCGGAAGACCAAGGGUUCCUGUCCAACGUUAAUCGGGGCAGGGUGAGUCGACCCCUAAGGCGAGGCCGAAAGGCGUAGUCGAUGGGAAACGGGUUAAUAUUCCCGUACUUGGUGUUACUGCGAAGGGGGGACGGAGAAGGCUAUGUUGGCCGGGCGACGGUAGUCCCGGUUUAAGCGUGUAGGUGUGUGUUCCAGGUAAAUCCGGUUCACUUUAACACUGAGGCGUGAUGACGAGGCACCACGGUGCUGAAGCAACAAAUGCCCUGCUUCCAGGAAAAGCCUCUAAGCAUCAGGUAACAUCAAAUCGUACCCCAAACCGACACAGGUGGUCAGGUAGAGAAUACCAAGGCGCUUGAGAGAACUCGGGUGAAGGAACUAGGCAAAAUGGUGCCGUAACUUCGGGAGAAGGCACGCUGACACGUAGGUGAAGUGAUUUACUCAUGGAGCUGAAGUCAGUCGAAGAUACCAGCUGGCUGCAACUGUUUAUUAAAAACACAGCACUGUGCAAACACGAAAGUGGACGUAUACGGUGUGACGCCUGCCCGGUGCCGGAAGGUUAAUUGAUGGGGUCAGCGCAAGCGAAGCUCCUGAUCGAAGCCCCGGUAAACGGCGGCCGUAACUAUAACGGUCCUAAGGUAGCGAAAUUCCUUGUCGGGUAAGUUCCGACCUGCACGAAUGGCGUAAUGAUGGCCAGGCUGUCUCCACCCGAGACUCAGUGAAAUUGAACUCGCUGUGAAGAUGCAGUGUACCCGCGGCAAGACGGAAAGACCCCGUGAACCUUUACUAUAGCUUGACACUGAACAUUGAGCCUUGAUGUGUAGGAUAGGUGGGAGGCUUUGAAGCGUGGACGCCAGUCUGCGUGGAGCCGACCUUGAAAUACCACCCUUUAAUGUUUGAUGUUCUAACGUGGACCCGUAAUCCGGGUUGCGGACAGUGUCUGGUGGGUAGUUUGACUGGGGCGGUCUCCUCCUAAAGAGUAACGGAGGAGCACGAAGGUUGGCUAAUCCUGGUCGGACAUCAGGAGGUUAGUGCAAUGGCAUAAGCCAGCUUGACUGCGAGCGUGACGGCGCGAGCAGGUGCGAAAGCAGGUCAUAGUGAUCCGGUGGUUCUGAAUGGAAGGGCCAUCGCUCAACGGAUAAAAGGUACUCCGGGGAUAACAGGCUGAUACCGCCCAAGAGUUCAUAUCGACGGCGGUGUUUGGCACCUCGAUGUCGGCUCAUCACAUCCUGGGGCUGAAGUAGGUCCCAAGGGUAUGGCUGUUCGCCAUUUAAAGUGGUACGCGAGCUGGGUUUAGAACGUCGUGAGACAGUUCGGUCCCUAUCUGCCGUGGGCGCUGGAAGACUGAGGGGGGCUGCUCCUAGUACGAGAGGACCGGAGUGGACGCAUCACUGGUGUUCGGGUUGUCAUGCCAAUGGCACUGCCCGGUAGCUAAAUGCGGAAAAGAUAAGUGCUGAAAGCAUCUAAGCACGAAACUUGCCCCGAGAUGAGUCUUCCCUGAGACCUUGAGUCUCCUGAAGGAACGUUAAAGACGAUGACGUUGAUAGGCCGGGUGUGUAAGCGCAGCGAUGCGUUGAGCUAACCGGUACUAAUGAACCGUGAGGCUUAACCUU